RNAcentral lists this ribosomal RNA (321 nucleotides) under Triticum aestivum (bread wheat). RNAcentral's name for it is "partial small subunit ribosomal RNA". The record is from RNAcentral. Lineage: Eukaryota; Viridiplantae; Streptophyta; Magnoliopsida; Poales; Poaceae.
AUGGGCGCCAGGGAAAAAAUACCAUCAUCGUCACAUGAACUACGCAGUGACAAGAAGAGGAGACUGAGAUCUGAUGUAGUAUCAGAUGACUCAGAGGAUGAAUGCACCAAGACAAGUUUGUCAGAACGAAAGGAAAAAAAAUGUCCGUGGAAACAAGAAAUCUUUUGUAGCAAUAGUAAAAAAACACAAGGCUUGAAGAUGAUGAUGAAGUAUGGGAAGCAAAGCCUAGGAGAACGAGAAAGUUAUCUAGAAAAUUGGGGAUCUUAUCAAAUAGAUAUUGAGGCAACCUAUUUGUAUUACCAAGUUAUACAAAAAGGAUAG